This 192-nucleotide microRNA precursor is filed under the name Oryza meridionalis. RNAcentral describes it as "MIR812 microRNA precursor family". It matches the Rfam family "MIR812 microRNA precursor family". Lineage: Eukaryota; Viridiplantae; Streptophyta; Magnoliopsida; Poales; Poaceae. The record is from Rfam by way of RNAcentral.
UAUAACGUCGUUGACUUUUUGUCCAACGUUUGACCAUUCGUCUUACUAAAAAAAUUUAUGUAAUUAUCAUUUAUUUUAUUGUGAUUUGAUUCAUCAUUAAAUAUUCUUUAAACAUGGCAUAAAUAUUUUCAUAUUUACACAAAAAUUUUAAAUAAAACGAAUGGUCAAACGUUGGUCGAAAAGUCAACGACG